GAUGAACGCUGGCGGCGUGCCUAAUACAUGCAAGUCGAGCGAACAGACGAGGAGCUUGCUCCUCUGACAUUAGCGGCGGACGGGUGAGUAACACGUGGAUAACCUACCUAUAAGACUGGGAUAACUUCGGGAAACCGGAGCUAAUACCGGAUAAUAUAUUGAACCGCAUGGUUCAAUAGUGAAAGACGGUUUUGCUGUCACUUAUAGAUGGAUCCGCGCCGCAUUAGCUAGUUGGUAAGGUAACGGCUUACCAAGGCGACGAUGCGUAGCCGACCUGAGAGGGUGAUCGGCCACACUGGAACUGAGACACGGUCCAGACUCCUACGGGAGGCAGCAGUAGGGAAUCUUCCGCAAUGGGCGAAAGCCUGACGGAGCAACGCCGCGCGAGUGAUGAAGGUCUUCGGAUCGUAAAACUCUGUUAUUAGGGAAGAACAAAUGUGUAAGUAACUAUGCACGUCUUGACGGUACCUAAUCAGAAAGCCACGGCUAACUACGUG
Molecule: ribosomal RNA, 497 nt
Filed under: uncultured bacterium
Lineage: Bacteria
Description: partial 16S ribosomal RNA
Rfam family: Bacterial small subunit ribosomal RNA
Source: RNAcentral